RNAcentral lists this ribosomal RNA (2108 nucleotides) under Bifidostylus cassisi. RNAcentral's name for it is "partial large subunit ribosomal RNA". It matches the Rfam family "Eukaryotic large subunit ribosomal RNA", at positions 46 to 1895 of the family's 3401-position model. Lineage: Eukaryota; Metazoa; Arthropoda; Insecta; Hemiptera; Miridae. The record is from RNAcentral.
GUAAGCGGAGGAAAAGAAACUAACGAGGAUUCCCUUAGUAGCUGCGAGCGAACAGGGAAAAGCCCAGCACUGAAUCCCGGGGGCCUCGCCUCCAGGGAAAUGUAGUGUUUGGGAGGGUCCAUACACCCGAUACCGUCGCACUGCGUCCAAGUCCAUCUUGAAAGAGGCCACGGUCCCGAGAGGGUGCCAGGCCCGUGGUAGGCCGGUGCAGGUGUUGGGUGGACCUCUCCUCAGAGUCAGGUUGCUUGAGAGUGCAGCCCUAAGCGGGUGGUAAACUCCAUCUAAGGCUAAAUACAACCACGAGACCGAUAGCGAACAAGUACCGUGAGGGAAAGUUGAAAAGAACUUUGAAGAGAGAGUUCAAGAGUACGUGAAACCGCUCAGGGGUAAACGGAAAAGACCCGAAAUUUCCGAAGAGGGAGAUUCACGUCUUCUCGCGGGUUCGACGCAUUCACUCCUCUCCGACGACCCUGCCCCCGUUCGGACUCGUCCGGUGCGUGGCGGUGGGGUUGCAGAGGGUGAUGUGGAGGCCUGCGGCGGACCGCACUUCUCCCUUAGUAGGACGUCGUGACCCGUCCGGUCAUGGUCAUAAGGGCGCAGGGUGGAGCCUGUCCGAUCGUGCUUGCACGUCUUCGGGCAGACCCCCGUGCCCCGGCCAUGAAUUUCGGUCGGUAUCGAAUGACAGUGUUUGGUCGCUUGCCGUCGGAGGGAACUCCUGACAGUGAGUGCGCGUGGCUCUCGACAAGGUGCUGGGAUGUGUGGUCAAGGCGGGCUCCCGUCCGUCUGGCUCCGCUCGGCCCUGUUAGUCUUGUUGCUCUGGCGCCGGCCGAUUUUCAUAAACACUCGUCUACGGCGAAUCAGUUUUGGGCUCUUGUCCGACCCGUCUUGAAACACGGACCAAGGAGUUCAGCGUGUACGCGAGUCAUUGGGUGGUAAAACCCAAAGGCGUAAUGAAAGUGAAGGGAACUUUACGUUUCUGAGGGAGGAUGAGUCGGUUACCCGCGAGGGGCCGCUCCGCACUCCCGGGGCGUCUCUUUCUCAUUGCGAGUGGAGGCGCACCCAUAGCGUACACGCUGAUACCCGAAAGAUGGUGAACUAUGCCUGGCCAGGACGAAGCCAGGGGAAACCCUGGUGGAGGUCCGCAGCGAUUCUGACGUGCAAAUCGAUCGUCGGAGCUGGGUAUAGGGGCGAAAGACCAAUCGAACCAUCCUUGAACUUUGUUUUUUGAAGCCGGGGGCUCGGAUCAGAGUGCCAAGUGGGCCAAUUUUGGUAAGCAGAACUGGCGCUGUGGGAUGAACCAAACGUCGAGUUAAGGCGCCCAAAUCGACGCUCAUGUGAAACCAUGAAAGGCGUUGGUUGCUUAAGACAGCAGGACGGUGGCCAUGGAAGUCGGAAUCCGCUAAGGAGUGUGUAACAACUCACCUGCCGAAGCAACUAGCCCUGAAAAUGGAUGGCGCUGUAGCGUCGUGCCUAUACUCGACCGUCAACGGCAAAGAUGGCCGGCGGGCAACCGUCGGCCGUUACGCCUUGACGAGUAGGAGGGCCGCGGCGGCGUGCGUAGAAGGGUCUGGGCGUGAGCCUGCCUGGAGCCGCCGUCGGUGCAGAUCUUGGUGGUAGUAGCAAAUACUCCAGCGAGGCCCUGGAGGACUGAUGUGGAGAAGGGUUUCUUGUGAACAGCUGUUGCACAAGAGUCAGUCGGUCCUAAGCCCUAGGAGAAAUCCGAAGCGAUGGGUUGCCGUUAAUAACUCUGAUCGAUUUAUGAAGGCACCCGUUUGGGCGAAAGGGAAUCUGGUUCCUAUUCCAGAACCUGGCAGUGGAACCGUUCCAAUUCGGGCCCUCUGAGGACUCGUCAGGGCAACCUGAAUAGACCCGGAGACGCCGACAGGAGGUUGGGGGAGAGUUGUCUCUUCUCUAUAAGCGAUCGAGUUCCCUGGAAACUUCUAGCAAGGAGAUAGGGUUUGGAUCGCGAAGAGCACUGCAGUUACGGCAGUGUCCCAAUCUUCCUCUCGGACCUUGAAAAUCCGGGUGAGGGCCACGAGGAACCCCACGCCAGACCGUACCCAUAUCCGCAGCAGGUCUCCAAGGUGCAAAGCCUCUAGUCGAUAGAU